CACGUAGGGUGCGAGCGUUGUCCGGAAUCACUGGGCGUAAAGGGCGCGUAGGCGGCUUGAUAAGGUUGCGGUGAAAGCCCGGGGCUCAACCCCGGGUCGGCCGUGGCAACUGUCGAGCUGGAGCACUGUAGAGGCAGGUGGAAUUCCGGGUGUAGCGGUGGAAUGCGUAGAGAUCCGGAAGAACACCGGUGGCGAAGGCGGCCUGCUGGGCAGUGGCUGACGCUGAGGCGCGACAGCGUGGGGAGCAAACAGG
RNAcentral lists this ribosomal RNA (253 nucleotides) under uncultured bacterium. Its description in RNAcentral is "partial 16S ribosomal RNA". It matches the Rfam family "Bacterial small subunit ribosomal RNA", at positions 524 to 776 of the family's 1533-position model. The record is from RNAcentral.